Molecule: ribosomal RNA, 497 nt
Filed under: uncultured bacterium
Lineage: Bacteria
Description: partial 16S ribosomal RNA
Rfam family: Bacterial small subunit ribosomal RNA
Source: RNAcentral
GAUGAACGCUGGCGGCGUGCCUAAUACAUGCAAGUCGAGCGAACAGAUGAGGAGCUUGCUCCUCUGACGUUAGCGGCGGACGGGUGAGUAACACGUGGAUAACCUACCUAUAAGACUGGGAUAACUUCGGGAAACCGGAGAUAAUACCGGAUAAUAUAUUGAACCGCAUGGUUCAAUAGUGAAAGACGGUUUUGCUGUCACUUAUAGAUGGAUCCGCGUCGCAUUAGCUAGUUGGUAAGGUAACGGCUUACCAAGGCAACGAUGCGUAGCCGACCUGAGAGGGUGAUCAGCCACACUGGAACUGAGACACGGUCCAGACUCCUACGGGAGGCAGCAGUAGGGAAUCUUCCACAAUGGGCGAAAGCCUGACGGAGCAACGCCGCGUGAGUGAUGAAGGUCUUCGGAUCGUAAAACUCUGUUAUUAGGGAAGAACAAAUGUGUAAGUAACUAUGCACGUCUUGACGGUACCUAAUCAGAAAGCAACGGCUAACUACGUG